Molecule: long non-coding RNA, 152 nt
Organism: Helianthus annuus (common sunflower)
Lineage: Eukaryota; Viridiplantae; Streptophyta; Magnoliopsida; Asterales; Asteraceae
Exons: 3
Source: RefSeq, a predicted model, not a curated record
CUCUUCCACAUACAAACCCUUCAUCGAUAUGUUCAAUCUCCUUCGUUAACUUCCUAGGGGUAGUCGAAAAUAAAGAAAUAUAAGAGUUUGGAUCUUUGUGUUCUCCAUUUCUUCCGGAUGCUUCCACAACAUGAACAACAUUUACGGCUCUG